This 253-nucleotide ribosomal RNA is filed under the name uncultured bacterium. Its description in RNAcentral is "partial 16S ribosomal RNA". It matches the Rfam family "Bacterial small subunit ribosomal RNA", at positions 524 to 776 of the family's 1533-position model. The record is from RNAcentral.
UACGUAGGGUGCAAGCGUUAAUCGGAAUUACUGGGCGUAAAGCGUGCGCAGGCGGUGAUGUAAGACAGGUGUGAAAUCCCCGGGCUUAACCUGGGAACUGCAUUUGUGACUGCAUCGCUGGAGUGCGGCAGAGGGGGAUGGAAUUCCGCGUGUAGCAGUGAAAUGCGUAGAGAUGUGGAGGAACACCGAUGGCGAAGGCAGCCCCCUGGGUCAAGAUUGACGCUCAUGCACGAAGACGUGGGGAGCAAACAGG